Molecule: long non-coding RNA, 2307 nt
Filed under: Homo sapiens (human)
Lineage: Eukaryota; Metazoa; Chordata; Mammalia; Primates; Hominidae
Description: long intergenic non-protein coding RNA 1304
Source: RNAcentral
ACAGCAGGAAGGGCUGGAGCCAGAAUGUGGUCUGAGAGGCUGGAUAUACAAAGAGACAAUGGCAUGACCAUCUGUACAAAUGGAACUAUGGCCCACAACCUGCAGCAGCCAGCCCAGGAAGCCAACCCGUCACCUGCAGCAGCCAGGAUGGAUGCUGGCCUGCCCUCAGUUGUACUCACAUCAUUGGUCUUAUGGGGAAAUUUUAAGACCUCCCACUUGUAAGGUUUUAUAGCCCUCUAUGGAAUAUUGAAGAAAGAGUAAAAUGCAUCCAAAAAAAAAAAAAAACACUAAACUGGAUAAAUUCUAAGGCCUCUUCAGGUCUUAAGAUGGCCAUUUUCUAGGUCCUCUUGCUGCAGCAGUGAAAUCCACAAACACGGACAAGUCAGUCAGUUACGUGCCUUUCAGAGAAAACUUCUGACUUAGGAAUUCCAGCUAUUUGGCCCAACCCAUAUUAGAUUGUGUUAUAAAGACAUGGUAAAUUACAUCACGAAGGGAAGAGCAGAGGAAACAUAAUAUUCCUUCAAGACCCAUCAGCUCAGAUGUUAGCAGAACACCCCUAAGGAGGAAAACAAGAAAUUUUGGGUUUGAACUUGGUACUUCCCAGCAGCCCUGGGAGUGGGGUCAGAAGCCCUGCUGGGGGCCAAAGAACUCUGAGGAUCAAAGAUGUUGAGCAUCACCUUAGAGGCCAAAGAUCAGAACAGUGGAGGUGGCCUUUGAAGCCCAACCUGUCUUUCACCAGAGAGUGAGAACGGCCUCUAUUUCCAGGAAGCUCACUGCAGCAAUAAUCAUGAUGCUCUGAGCCUGACAAGCAAAAGAAAACUUCUUUAGGAGGAUAAAAGGGAGAUGAAGAAACAGAAAACACAUCAGCUCUCCAUCCAGAUUACAGAAAGCAGAAAACAUCCUGAAGUGAAUAACAUAGGAAUCGCUCUUUUUCCCCCCUGAGAUAGCAGGUUACUUAUGAGAAACAAGCUUGAAAUCUCUGCACCUGGACCAGCUUCCAGAGGCUUUUGUCCUGACCAGCUGGCUUUGGGGAAGUAAAGGAAACCAGAGAAGAAGAGGCUGAAAGAAUUGGUUUCCACCGUGACCUUUGAACCCUCGGGCGAGUUGUCAGCCUCACUGAGGAUGAGUGUACUCCAUAUCAAGUGAGGUCACUUUACUCGCAAGCUUGUUGUGAGGACUGAAUGAAACCUUUUCUUUUUUCUUGGAGUUUCAGAGCAACGUCCCUGAGCCCAGCCCCACACUGGCUUGAGCCCUGUCGUCGGUCAAGACACGGUGCUUUCUCCCCUCCCCUCUGCACUCCAGCUUACUCUGCAGUCAGGAGGUGGCACCACGAUCCCCUUUAAGACUUUGCCACUUGGGCCAGCUGCGCCCCUGUGAAAUUCCCUGUUUCUAUUGCAGGCCACAAGGACGAGCUGAGAAAUGGCUUCCAGUCACCAUCUAGAUUAGAAAGCCUAUAUUUCAAAUAUAGAUAUAUCAAUUAUGCCUGUAAAAAGACAUUAAAUCCCACAGGGCUGUAAUUCCUAGACUCUACGAAUUUCAUCUUGCACCAAAUUUUAUUAUUUCAUUUAUAAUUCGGAUUCUUCAAAUCUAAGAGUGCCUGGCUCAAAAUUAAAAUACCUACAACUAUGCCAAAACUGGACUCUUUAAUUGCCUUACUGGAACCAGUAGCUGAUUCAAAGCAAAACGAAACAAAAUUCCUCCUUUCUCUGAUUUAGUGAAUCAAUGAUCUAACUGAACUCAUUUUUGGACUGAGUUUGCGGCACUUGCAGCCCUGAGGGACACAUUCCCCCACCACACUGAGCCUGCACUCCCAUCAAUGCAAAUGAACAUUUUGCUUAUUCAGAUUGGGGGGGUGAAGGAAGUCACAAAAGGGUUAAUACAUAUGGCAUUUCAUUGUAAUAUGUACUCACUACUAACUAAAUUAAAAGAGAUGUGAGUUAUUAAAAACUCCAUCUUAAGAAAGUAACAGAAAUCAGAGUUCAGAUUCGUUGUUACUGAGUUUCCAACCAACACCUGUGAGUUAAACCUACGGCCACCCUGAAAACGGUUCAUAUUUUCAAAAGCUUCAUCGAAGAUGAGCUGCACUAAAGAUUCAUAUUACAUAUCAUGCUGCAAUAAGAAAAUCAAAUAAGGCCUUUCCAUAUUCAAUAAUAAAGUUUAAAGAAAAGUAAUAUUUGUUUAGCCAGUUAGCCAGAAAUUAGAUGUAUCAGAAUACAUCAUUCUUUGAGCAUUUUAGAAAAAUCAGGGUAUUUCUACAUUGUGUUUUUCUUUGUAAGCCCUCAAAAAAUAUAGAGAAUAUUCUUGAAA